UACAGAGGAGCCAAGCGUUGUCCGGAUUGACUGGGCGUAAAGCGCACGCAGGCGGGUGCGCGCGGGGGGGGGGAAAUCUGGCCGCUUAACGGCCAGGCGCCAUCCCAUACGGCGCGCCUGGAGGGCUGCAGAGGUCGAUGGAAUUGCCGGUGUAGUGGUGAAAUGCGUAGAGAUCGGCAGGAACACCCAGGGGGAAACCAGUCGACUGGGCAGCACCUGACGCUGAGGUGCGAGAGCGUGGGGAGCGAACCGG
This 253-nucleotide ribosomal RNA is filed under the name uncultured bacterium. Its description in RNAcentral is "partial 16S ribosomal RNA". It matches the Rfam family "Bacterial small subunit ribosomal RNA", at positions 524 to 776 of the family's 1533-position model. The record is from RNAcentral.